Molecule: ribosomal RNA, 318 nt
Filed under: uncultured Thermoanaerobacterales bacterium
Lineage: Bacteria; Bacillati; Bacillota; Clostridia; Thermoanaerobacterales
Description: bacterial SSU rRNA
Rfam family: Bacterial small subunit ribosomal RNA
Source: RNAcentral
GGACGAAGAGGACGGUACCCGAGGAGGAAGCCCCGGCUAACUACGUGCCAGCAGCCGCGGUAAUACGUAGGGGGCGAGCGUUGUCCGGAAUUACUGGGUGUAAAGGGCGUGUAGGCGGUGAUGCAAGUUAUCGGUAAAAACCCGGGGCUCAACUCCGGGCUUGCCGAUAAAACUGCAUCACUUGAGUGCAGGAGAGGGAAGUGGAAUUCCCGGAGUAGCGGUGAAAUGCGUAGAUACCGGGAGGAACACCAGUGGCGAAGGCGGCUUCCUGGCCUGUAACUGACGCUGAGGCGCGAAAGCUGGGGGAGCGAACGGGAU